GCAGAUAAUAAUGCUGUAUGGCAUAUUGAAUAGGAGAGUAGAUCUUGGUUGCAAACAGUGAAACUGGGGACAUCAGACAGAGGAGUCCUGUGGAGAAUCCCAGGACAGCAUGGGUAGCUGUGUUAUGUCCCCAGUGAUGAAUACAAUGACAUUGCCUCAGUGGCCUUGCAGCAAAUGUGGAGCAACUUAGAUUAAUCUAUUAGUUUUAUUGUUAUUUAUGGAAUGGACCUCAAAACCCACAACUGGUUGCCCAACCUAAAAAAAAAUUUACCUCCUGCUACUCCAUAAAUAAUCACUACCCAUGUGAAACUAAACAGGAAAUGAAAACACUUGGUUCAUCCCUGGAGAGAUGCCACAGACGUGCAUUGUCAGAGCUGCCGUUACAACAUGGAUCACUGACUCAUGGCCAGGUGCCCUGGUUGAUUACCAUGCCCUCGGGGACAGAAAUAAGGAUUGGAGCUUUUGGCUUCGUAAAAAAUUAGAUCAAUGAGAAUAAAGAUGUCUUCAAUGAAUGGAAAUGUGGAAUCUCUACCUGUGGAUGAGCUUUUCCAUCUGAAGGAAUA
Molecule: long non-coding RNA, 563 nt
Filed under: Canis lupus familiaris (dog)
Lineage: Eukaryota; Metazoa; Chordata; Mammalia; Carnivora; Canidae
Description: lncRNA (ENSCAFG00845029340.1)
Source: RNAcentral